GAUGAAGAACGUAGCGAAAUGCGAUAAGUAAUGUGAAUUGCAGAAUUCAGUGAAUCAUCGAAUCUUUGAACGCACAUUGCGCCCGCGAGUAUUCUCGCGGGCAUGCCUGUCCGAGCGUCAUUUCAACCCUCAGGGCCCGCCUGCUUGCAGGCGCGGCGCUGGUGUUGGGGAUCGGCUACCCUGCCGUCCCCAAAUACAGUGGCGGUCUCGCUGCAGCCUCCCCUGCGUAGUAGCAACACUCGCAUGCGGAGCGCGGCGCGGCCACGCCGUAAAACCCCCGACUUUCUGAACGUUGACCUCGGAUCAGGUAGGAAUACCCGCUGAACUUAAGCAUAUCAAUAAGCGGAGGA
This 350-nucleotide unclassified non-coding RNA is filed under the name soil metagenome. Its description in RNAcentral is "partial contains 5.8S ribosomal RNA, internal transcribed spacer 2, and large subunit ribosomal RNA". The stretch from base 1 to 120 matches the Rfam family "5.8S ribosomal RNA", at positions 35 to 154 of the family's 154-position model. The record is from RNAcentral.